CAAGUCCCAUCACACAACCUCCUCUUUCUGUUUGUGGCAUCCUUUUCAUUAUACAAUUCUUCUACUUCAGUAACUUUACAUAACCAAAAUUGAUCAUUUGUUUAUGUUUGUAAACUAACAUGCAAAGAACAUGAUCAUUGAUCCAGGCAUGGAGUGAAACAACCAAGAAAUCCAUGGUUUGAUGGUCCAGAAUAUGUGACACAAUGUCCAAUCUUACCGGGGACAAAUUUUACCUAUCAAGUUCAGUUGAGCACAGAAGAAGGAACACUAUGGUGGCAUGCUCAUAGUGAUUGGACUAGAGCAAGCGUUCAUGGUGCCAUUGUCGUCUUGCCUGCUCUUGGAACAACAUUUCCAUUUCCUGAGCCUGAUGAAGAGGAGAUCAUUGUGUUUGGUAAGACGAUAUUCUGGCCUAGUCGAUAUUGCUCUGUAUUACUUAAUUUCAAGCAUAGGUGCAUCCAAUAUAUGCUAAGUUAGUACACUAAUUCCAAUUGCAGGAUCUUGGUAUUUGGGUAAUUUGAAAGAACAGGUUGACGAGUGUUUGGAACCUGCAACUAACUCUAACUUACCCAUAGCAGCAGGUUACACAGUAAAUGGCCGCCUUGGAGAUUUCUCUCCAUGCUCCAAAAGUAAGCAUAUAUAUAUAUGUCUUUAUCAGGUGGUUCACCUGAAUAGUUUGUUACUUCGAGUAAUGUACGUAUUUCCACAUUGCAUAUGCUUGUAGAUACAACUUAUCGUCGUAAGGUGGACUACGGCAAGACAUAUCUUCUACGGAUAGUGAAUGCAAACAUCGAUGUAGAGUUUUACUUUGCCAUUGCUGAACACAACCUCACUGUGGUUGGUUUGGAUGGCUCCUAUGCCAAACCCAUUAACACAGACCUUAUAGUGAUAGCCCCUGGACAAACAAUGGACGUGUUGCUCAACGCAAAUUCGACUCAGGGGAGAUAUUAUUACAUGGUCGGAAGAGAAUACUUAAGUGCUACAGUUGACACAGCAUCUGACGAUGAUGCUAUUGCAAUCCUUGAAUAUAAUGGCAACUAUACCACUUCAGAAGCUCCUUUAUUUCCUGAACAGAUUCCCGAUUCCUUAUCCCAAGCACCAGCACUCAACUUCUACAGAAAAAUUAGAAGCUUAGCUACCCCAGAAUAUCCUGUAAAUGUUCCAAAAGAGAGUGACGUUACUACCAGAAUGUACAUAACAGCUUCGGCCAACGCUCUUUACUGUACUGAAGAUUUAGGUCCUACAUGCUUCAACAUAUCUUUUGCCGCAAGCGUCAAUAAUAUUAGUUGGGCCAAUCCAUCAGAAUCCAUCUUGCAAGCCUACUACAAGUAAGAUACAUGUGCAUUUACUAUGAACUAGAUUCAUGAAAGCUAGCUUGUUAUGGUUAUAUUCCCACCUGAAAAUUGGUUUUGAGUGAUCUUUAUGUACAUGUAGGAACAUAAGCGAGCCGGUUUACGAAACAGAUUUCCCAGACGAGCCACCAGUUUAUUUCAACUUCACCGAAAUAGCCAUGACACUAGAUCCAGUGUUAACAGUCCAAGGGACAAAGGUGAAGGUGCUAGAGUAUAAUGAAACAGUUGAGAUGGUGUUUCAAGGCACUGAAGUGAUGGGAGGUUCUGUAAAUCAUCCAAUGCACUUGCAUGGACAUAGCUUUUAUGUGCUUGGUUUUGGUUAUGGGAAUUACUUCGCCGAGAGGGACUCAAAAACCUUUAAUCUGAUUGAUCCUCCUUAUGUAGCAACAUUCAUCACUCCAAAAAAUGGGUGGUUAGCUAUCAGAUUCGUAGCGAAUAAUCCAGGUAAUAUCCCUCUCUCCAAACUUGCAUAUAAACUAAAGAGCCUAACUAAAUUGUGAGAUUCUAAAAACUGAUGUAUGAUUUCUGUUGCAGGUGUGUGGUUUUGGCAUUGUCAUAUGGAGAGACACUUGACAUGGGGUAUGGAGUCUGCUUUUAUAAUCAAGGACGGGGGUACACCUGAGACUAGCAUGCUCCCUCCUCCGGCUACAAUGCCUUCCUGUGACGUUCCAUUGGAUUCUGCUACUCUCCCAAGUAACUCGGAAUUGAAUAAGAAUCAAAUAGAGUAAUUGAUGAAUUAAUGAUUAUGUCUUCAGUUGUACUGUUUAAUUUGAUAAAACUCGCAUAUUCCAACUUGUACGUAGAACUUGAUCGAACACACAUCAACAGUGAAGUAUUGAUUUUUAGCAUUGAUCAGGAGGAGACAUCUUUUUAAUUGAAAUCACACAGUUUCCUUAGCGAUUUCUAGAUCAAGAGACAGGAGGCGGGUGUUUAGGUUAUAUAUAUAAUUCUACAGGAACAAAACAUGUUAUUCAGAUCGCCGACGAUGAUGAGAUUUGCAACACGCCGCCGAGAACUAUGGGUUUCCAGCUACCAUUUAGAACGAAAGUUUCGUUUCACUAACUAAUAACAGGGAGUGCCACAAACCAACGUAACAUUAAUCUCAGGGCGUCACUCCACAGUUAGAGCCCAGACGUUGUGUAAAGACACACAAUCGUCUAAACGACUGUUAUACAGUUGUUCAGAAUAUUGAUAAUUUUAUAUAAAGAUACACAAUCGUUGUAUAUGCAUCGACUAGGGUUUAGGAUUGGGGUAAGACUAUGGUAUGUUUACAUUUCUCAUACAUCAAUUACUUUAUAUAUAUAAUGAGAGGAUGUGAAGCGGACGUCCGCACUCCGGCUUAAAGUGCGGACAUUGUUCUUUCUCCGCCGUCUCACGCCGGCGACGGCUUCUCUCCUUUCCGGACGACAGCACAGGCUUCCAGGACGGCUUCUCUCCUUCCAGAACUGGCCGGCAACAAGUUUUCCAGCCAACCUUGAUCAAUCAUGGUGUUUUCCGUCCAGAGCUUCAAUCCGGCCGGAAAACUUGUCGCCGGCCAGUCUUGGAAGGAGAGAAACUGUCCUAGAUGCUUGUGUUGUCGUCCAGGAAGGAGAGAAGCGGUCGCCGGCGUGAGACGGCGGAAAACAGAUAACGUUCGCACUUUAAGCCGGAGUGCGGACGUCCGCUUUACAUCCUCUCUGUGUAUAUAUAUAUAUAUAUAUAUAUAUAUAUAUAUAUAUANNNNNNNNNNNNNNNNNNNNNNNNNNNNNNNNNNNNNNNNNNNNNNNNNNGCAAGAGUCAGCUUAUACCUGUCAGUGUGACAUAACGGACAUGCAUCAAGGCCACCAAGGUCAUUCCCUUUUGGAUCUUUACCCUAGAAGAGAACGCAGUCAUAUCUGCAUGCAUGGAUCUUGAUGUAGGAAAGCCCAAGAUCUUUCAGGAUACAUCGGACCUUAUGAUGAGUGGUAGGAAGACGAUGACCGUAGGGUAGCAUCGAAACAGUGUACUGUAGAUAAUCAUCAACAGCCUUCACGGUCAAUUUUGUCUCAACUUUAAUCUUCAUUACGUCCAUCACACUUUCAAGAACGGUCUUCUGACAACCGGGGUACACAGGGGUCUGUUGAAAAGCAAGCAGUUUGUUGUACUUGUCAAUACCAGCAGUGUUGACAGCUCUAGGGAAGAGCUGCACCGGGUCAGACAUAUACUGUCCUUGAGCACAUACACCGCUCUCAUAAGGAAACAUGUCGUUGAUGAAGGCCGUUGUUGGAUUGUUAGAUGUACUGCCCGUCUCAGAAAAUUGGCCAUGAUCAUGCGGACCCCCUGAUGAUGUUUCACCGUGAUAUAACCAACAUAUGUACUUCUCCCAAAACCCGUUACUCUUCAGGUGCUGCCAUACUUUGUCAAUCGCAAAUCGAUGCAUAUCGCUGCGACACUGACAUUUCGUGCACGGGCAAUAGAAAAUUGUAUUCCCGUUAGCAUUAGCCAACGCAUAUUCCAGAAAACUCAUAACUCCUUUACCAUAUCUUUUGUCCCAUUUUGGAAGCGAAAUCCAACUCUUAUCCAUAUCCUGAAAAUAUAACAAAACAUAUAUGUAUAACGCUAGCUAAUUAUUAAUUAAAUUCUAUGCCAUAUAUAAAAUCUCAAUUCAUUUAGUAUAUAUUCUAGGUACUACAACUAAUUGAUAACAAAUUAAUUAACACACACACACACACACACAUAUAUAUAUAUAUAUAUACAGUUCUUAUCUAGAGCGAAGCUUCACUUUGAAAUUAAAGUGUGAAGUUCCUUAUCUGACUCAUUUUUCAGUCAUAUUUCGACAUCUCCACCGUUCUGUUUAUUGAUACUAAUACAUAGAUCAUUCUUGCAAAAUUUCAUUCAAAUUUGAUGAUCAUUUAGAUACCGAAUUAAGUGAAAUCAAUGAACAGACCAUAAACCUGUCUGACUAGAACUGUUUGUGUAAAUCAUGAUUAUAAACACUCAAACGAUCAUCAAAUUCGAUAAAACUUUACAUAAGUGAUCUAUGCAUCUGAUUCUACAAAGUGAACGGUGGAGAUGUCGAAAUAUGACCGAAAAAUGAGUUAAAUAAGGAAUUUCACACUUUAAUUUCAGAACGAAGCUUCGCUCUGGAUAGAAACUGUAUAUAUAUAUAUACUUAUUAAUUACAUAACAAUAUUAUAUAUAUCAACAUCAUCACAAAAUCAUCAUCAACAACUUUAUACCAUCAACACAAUAUUAUAAAUUAAUUAACAUAUAUAUAUAUAUAUAUAUCUACUACUUAUGAACNNNNNNNNNNNNNNNNNNNNNNNNNNNNNNNNNNNNNNNNNNNNNNNNNNUAAAUUUCAUUAAGAGAAUAAAAUAUAUAAUAAAAAUGAAGGUCCAUUAAAUGUUUAUUAAGAGAAUCAUAAAUUUUUUAAAUAAAUAUUUAUUUAUAAAUUAUAUAUAAAUAUAUAUAUAAUAAUAAAUUAUAUAAUUAUAUAUAAUAAUAUUUUCAUUCUUAAUGGGUGGGGAUGGAGACGAAUAUCAAAAUACCAUACCCUCCUCGUACCCGAUUUAAGAAUCCGAAUACUGAGGAUCCUUAUCCCCAUUACCCGUUUAUACCCGUAUAUCUUCCCCGUUAGGGUCGAAUACCCGUGGGUACCUUACCCGCUGGGGAUUAUUGCCAUCCCUAGUUGGGGGAGGAGGAGAUGGAGAUAGAGGACAAAAACGUACCUUACCGUAAACAACUUGCAAACACGUGCUCCAGACAGCUUGAGUACUGCGUACAUUACCUGCAUCAUAACUUCAUAAGCUCUGAAAAUUGAAAGUCCUUGUAUCUGUGUGUCCAUGUAGAGAAAGUAUAGCCACCACUGUUGCAAUAGGAGUGACAAUUAAUGUAGGAAAAGAAAAUGGAGAAUUUUCAUAUACACCCAAUUUUGAAGAGCGGUUUUAAAUAAAACCCACCUAAUAUUCUUAUCUGAUAGACAUCUAAAAUGUACCAAUUAUGAUAAAUAUUAUAUCCUAUUUUUUUCUAAAUUUUACACAAUUGCCACCAUUCAACUAUAACAUAUUAAUAUAAUAAAUAAGCUUAAUUGAUGAUGUCAUAAAUACCUUGAUUAUGGGUUUUUCUUCUAACACUAACAUUUUUCAAUCAAUUUGCAAGAAUUAUGUAGUUAAAGGAAUUCAUUCUCUAAUCUAUACAUAAGGUAAAAUAUAAUAUGAAUAAGAUAUCUGAUCUAAACCCUAUACCCUAAAACCUAAACCCUAUACCCUAUACCUUAAACCCUAUACCCUGAAUAAGAUAUCUGAUCUAAACCCUAUAACCUAAACCCUAAACCUAUACCCUAACUCUAUACCCUAAACCCUAUACCUUAACCCUAUACCCUAAACCCAAUUUUGGGUUUCUUCUUUUUAGGUAUAUUAUCAUAUCAUGUCAUACUUAAUAGGUACAUUAGAAACGUAAGUAGUAAAGAGAUGUUCUCUCGAUUAGGAUGGGAAAUGAUAUAAUAAUAUAUCUAAAAAGAAGAAAAUUAAUCAAAGAACAAAAAUGCGUACCUUACAAUUAGACAUUUUCGACUAUGUAGAGAAACACCAAAUGUGAGCUUAGGAAUGAAAAGUAUCAUCCUAUUACAAAUGACAUACUUUUGUAUAUAGCAUAUAUAUAUAUAUACACUUAAGUUAGUAAUAACAAGGUAAGAAAUUAAAGAAUGUAAUUGAUUAUGACAAAGUUAAAUCCAACUAAAUUUUAGCUAGUAUUUGAGUUUCAAAUUAAUGCUAAAAUUGAGAAACAUACCAAAUUUAGCUUUCUACUGUUUGAAGGGCAAAUUAGAGAAACCGAAAAAUGAAAAAAACUAUUAAUUAUAGACAUUUGCUCUAUAUGGUAUGUUUGCUUAUGUGGAGUGGGUGUAAAAUAAAACAAAAAUAUGUAUGUGUUUAUCUUAAAAGAUGUCUAGUAUUUUGAGUUUUUAUUUAAUUUUCUCAAAGGAAAAUGUAAUCAAUGUAAUCUAGCUUGUACGUUUUUGCAGCACAACAGUACAGUGGAAUAUUAGUUCCCUUCGGUCUGUUUGGUGUUGUAACUUGUAAUUCCAUGGUCUGGUUCCUAAUUAGUAGCUACCACAGUUGCGUAGGCCCAAGCCGAAUGGGAAGGCAGCUUGCCAACAACUACCUGGCCGAGCUUAAUUGCCAACUACCUGAGCGAGUCCGGCCAUGGCAUUUGUGAUUGUAAAGACCAAGAAAUCAAGCUACUACCUAUCUUUUAACAGCAAAUCCAACAAAAAUCUUCUUGCAACCAAAAUCAAUUACAAAAUGUGGAAAAGACAAACGAAAUAUUAGAAGUAUCACCAGACUUUCGCAGUCGUCACGUCACUGAAUGCAGUGUAAAUGGGAACAAAUUUGUUCUAUGCCUUUGUUGGAUGUAAUACCAUUAUUGUUGUAGUGCUUGUAGAAAACUCUUCGAUCGAGCUUGAAUAUGGACAUGAUAAUAAUAUGAGAGUUUUUGGAGAUAUAUCGAGAGCAAAAUAUCAUGAUUCUUUCAUCAAGAUUCAAACUCCAUUUUCUAUUUUGGAAAACUGAAAAUGGCAGGUGCACACACGUUAAUGGUUGGCCCCGUACCGUAGUUUUCGAACUUUUUGGUAAGAAAGGUUGUUAAGAAGAACAUAUAUACCUACAUGAAAUCAACAUACUUGAGGAACGCAUAAAUUUAAGCAGUGUGCGCAAAUCUGUAGCUCCCUAGAUUUCAAAUACUUCACAAACAAAUGCGCGCAGCACAGAUUGAAAUCUUUGAGGAGUACUAGUACGUAGUCCAGUCAUGGCGACACAGUUUCUAGUGUUCGCUGUUCUUAUUGUCAUCCUACUGGUGUUCAGCUCUUUUGCUCAAUGCGAAGUGCAUUACCAUGAUUUUAUAGUAAGUAAAUUUUUUGAUGCUUUAUAAUUUCCCAGUUCGAUCAUCUAUUCCCUUCAAGCAUUCGAGUAUCUAUAUUCUACGUUAUUCAUUCCAGCUAUCUUUGUUUCAUGCAUGGAAUGAUGGAAUCGUAAUAUAACUAAUUUGUUCUGAUCUUUUACUAGUUUAGUUAUGUGCAUCUUGGUAAUUGCAAUUUUUGAUCUAUUAGGUUAAGGAGGUAAACUUCACUAGAUUGUGUGAAACAAAGCUCAUGUUAGUAGUAAACGAGAGUUAUCCAGGUCCAGCAAUACGAGCUCGCAAAGGAGACACUAUUUAUGUUAAUGUCUACAAUAAAGGAUAUUACGGAUUCACCAUUCACUGGCAAGUCCCUUCACACCACCUCCUCCUCUUAUCAGUUUAUAUAUAUAUUGCUUCCUUGUACUUUACAUUAUUAAAUUGAUCAUCUUUUAUCUUUGUAAAUUAACAUGCAAACACUUGGUAUGAUGAUCCAGGCAUGGUGUAAAACAACCAAGAAAUCCAUGGUUUGAUGGCCCAGAAUAUGUGACACAAUGUCCAAUCUUACCUGGUACUAAUUUUACCUAUCAAGUUCAGUUGAGCACAGAAGAAGGAACACUAUGGUGGCAUGCUCAUAGUGAUUGGACUAGAGCAAGCGUUCACGGUGCCAUUGUUGUAUUGCCUGCUCUUGUAACAACAUUUCCAUUUCCGGAGCCUGAUGAAGAGGAGAUC
This 7929-nucleotide long non-coding RNA is filed under the name Fragaria vesca (wild strawberry). RNAcentral's name for it is "long non-coding RNA (FVES_LNC003228)". Lineage: Eukaryota; Viridiplantae; Streptophyta; Magnoliopsida; Rosales; Rosaceae. The record is from RNAcentral.